This 274-nucleotide ribosomal RNA is filed under the name uncultured bacterium. Its description in RNAcentral is "partial 16S ribosomal RNA". It matches the Rfam family "Archaeal small subunit ribosomal RNA", at positions 473 to 747 of the family's 1478-position model. The record is from RNAcentral.
AUACCCGCUCCGCGAGUGGUGAGGACUAUUACUGGGCUUAAAGCGCCCGUAGCCGGCCGGGUGUGUCCUCCGUUAAAUCCACAGGCCUAACCUGUGGGCUGCGGGGGAUACUACCCGGCUCGGGGGUGGGAGAGGGCGGCGGUAUUCCCGGGGUAGGGGUAAAAUCCACUGAUCCCGGGAGGACCACCAGUGGCGAGGGCGGCCGCCCAGAACACGCCCGACGGUGAGGGGCGAAAGCUGGGGGAGCAAACGGGAUUAGAAACCCUUGUAGUCC